CCAUGGCUCAGCGGUAACAAACCCGACUUGAUCCGUGAGGAUAUGGGUUCGAUCCCCGGCCUCGAUCAGUGGGUUAGGGAUCGGAUGUUGCCAUGAGCUGUGGUGUAGGUCACAGACUCGGCUCAGACCCUGUGUUGCUGUGGCUGUGGCGUAGGCUGGCAGCAGUAGCUCCAAUUCAACCCCGAGCCUGGGAACUUCCAUAUGCCAUCCGUGGGGCCCUUAAAAAAAAUAAAUAAAAAGAAUAGGAGAUGAGGAGAUGAGGGGGUGGGAGGCAGGCCCCGGUGUGCAGUAGACCCUGAAGUGGAGAAUCGGCAGGUGGGUACCACUCAGCAUCCACACUGGAGCUUCAGGCAACAGCAAGUUGCCAUGGCAACAGCCAGACUGGAUCCUCUGCCAUUGUGUUCCAUUCCCACCCUUCCCUCUGGACCACGGCGUGUGGAAAGAGGCAAAGCCUGGAUCUGAAAGCAUUUGAGCCAUGGGGCUGCGUCAUAGCCACAGGAUGAAACAGAAGAUCUAGCGACCAAUCUGACUGGCCCGGUGGGACCAGUACCAUGGUCUCAGGAGGCAGAGAUGACAAGUGGAAGGAGACAGCUGUGGCUUUGUCCUGGGUCUGCCUUUCACCCACAUUCCUGCUCGGCUCACAGAAAUAUUAUCAUGCUGGAAAGAAAAAAAUGCCUUCUGCAGCGCAAGGAGCUAUGUAGCCUUUGUUUAUUCCGUUCCAUGGAGGGAGCAGGGGGCACUCCACAUUCUGCCUAAAAAUAUCCGCAGUGUGCUUCAAAAUAUUUGUCACCCAUGCAGAGAAUUCUGCAGAUCCUCACUGCAGAGCCUUGGAAAGGAGGACACAGAAAGGUGGGCGGAGAAGGACUUCCUCUCACCUGCGUCUCCCCACAGCAAUUCCAGAGAGCAGAUGUCUUGAUCUUCUGGGCCAAGCUCUGGGCUUUCCAUGUGUUUGCAUGGCUUUUGCUGUGUUUUGCUUACUGUGCUAAAUGCAAACUUGAAAGAGACACAUCCCUUCCCCCAUGAACCCGAGAUUCGUCUUGCAUACUGGACCCAGGGACAGUUCUGACCCUGCGGUCUCCAUUCAAUGAGCCAAAGUGUCCCAGGUAUCAUUCUGUCAACAUCUGCCGUCUAGUCUCUGUUGAGCAGUUCCUCAUCCAGGUCCAGUGGGGCACCCCUGGUGCCAUGCACUCCCAAUCCUUUGCUUAAGUCACAGAAGCUCAGUUUGUGGUGGGUUAAAACACUUGUUUCUGUGAGUGUAAAUGCUUUUUAUUGAUACUUAGGUGCCUUUUCCAGGGACCCUCUGGGUACUGGGGUGGAGACCAGGUUCCAGGCAUCCUGAGAGCUGCGGGUCUUCAGACUUGAGGGUACAGAGGCUGGUGUCACUCAAACUUGCUUGUCCCUGACACUCACAGACAGCAAGGCACUGGUUUUCCUUUCCUUCUUUCUUUCUUGCUUUCUGUAGGGCUGCAACUGUGGCAUAUGGAAUUUCCCAGGCUAGGGGUUGAAUCAGAGCUGUAGCUUCCGCCUAUACUACGGCCACGGCAACACCGAUCAGGGCCGCAUCUGCAACCUAGCCUGCACCUUGCAGCAGCACUGGAUCCUUAACCCACUGGAUGAGACCAGGGAUCGAACCCACAUCCUCACGGAUACUAUAUCGGUUCUUAACCUGCUGAGCCACAACAGGAACUCUGAAACAUUAAGUUUGCCAAAAUCUGGCAUUGACUGAACCAGGGAACUUUAGAUCUUCCAACUGAGCUAUUUUGGCCCCCACUCUCUUUUUUUCCUUUUAACACGUACAAAUGCAAUUGCUGUCAAAUCCCUAAAAGCGGCAUUUCCUCAACUUCUCUUACGUGUGAUGAGCCAUCCCUCGGCUCUCUUGGGAUGUUACCUCUGUUUUUAUUUCUUUUUCUUGUUAAUUGUAAACAUUAGCAGAAACCAAAGGACUGGUUCCUUCUCCCAGCAAUUCUGAUUGAGGACAUAUUUCUCCUGUACUAAAAUAAAAUUAAACUCUCUUCCUGGAGUUCCCGUCGUGGCGCAGUGGUUAACGAAUCCGACUAGGAACCAUGAGGUUGCGGGUUCGGUCCCUGCCCUUGCUCAGUGGGUUAACGAUCUGGCGUUGCCGUGAGCUGUGGUGUAGGUUGCAGACUCGGCUCGGAUCCCACGUUGCUGUGGCUCUGGCGUAGGCCAGUGGCUACAGCUCCGAUUCAACCCCUAGCCUGGGAACCUCCAUAUGCCGCGGGAGCAGCCCAAAGAAAUUAGCAAAAAGACAAAAAAAAAAAAAACAAAAAAAAAAAACUCUCUUCCUAAAGAGUCAGCUGGUUUGAGAACUCAGGACCCUCUCAUGCUGCCUGGUCUGUUUUGUUUCGUUUUGUUUUUUUCCUUUUUAGGGCUACACCUGUGUCAUAUGGAGAUUUCCCAGGCUAGGGGUCAAAUCAGAGCUACAGCUGCCGGCCUCCACCACAGCCACAGCAACCCAGGAUCCAAGCUGCAUCUGCGACCUUCACCACAGCUCACGGCAACCCAGAUCCCCAACCCACUGGGGAAAGCCAGGGAUCAAACCCAAGUCCUCGUGGAUCUUUGUAGGGUUCGUUAACCACUGAGCCACGAAGGGGACUUUGAACAGUCUAUUCAUUAAUGACCCAACUCUUAGACCACACCUCCCUGUGGUUCCCCCAGCUUAUGGCUUUUGACCUUAACUCUACAAUUAAUCCUUUCAGUACCCCAGGAAGUAAAAUGGGAAUUGUCCCUUCUUCAGUGGGUAUGUAGAAGACAGGUAUGAGACGCGACCUGUGUCACGAUCCUCAGAACAAAGAGUCUGUGGACGUGAAAGCGCCACUGUGGUUAUUAGAACAAAUAAUAAGAGAAGUUGGCAUCACACGCAUGCAGUUACACAGCCCUGCUCCCACCUCUGCUAGUCCUUUAACUUCACAUGUGACAUUUUGUGGCACAGUCUUUCUGAGUAGCAACCAAAAACCCACUUAGGUAGAAAGAGCCCUGUAGGAUCUCACGGGAGUCCUGGCCUUGCCGUUAAUGUGUGGGAACUCAGCCAAAUCAACUGAUCUUAUUGGCAACUGUAGGAUCCACAAUCCAGAGCCAUAAAUAAGGGACUUAUUCGUGGUCUGGAUGGCUGGGGGAAAAAAGAGAGAGAGGAGAGAAAAUUUUACCUGUAGAGAAAUGCCACCCUAUUAUAGGUGUUUUAUUGAGAAAUGUCAUCUUUUGAAACAUAGCUUCUAUAAUAUUAGUUCACUGUCAACUGGUUACUUUUUUUUAUGCUAUUAAUAAAAUCAGCAUUAAGUAACUGUAAGUGUAUUUACAGUUGCUUCUGAAAACCCAUCAAAGGAACGUAAGUGGAAGGAGAUUAUUUUUUCUACUUGAAGAGACCAUUAAGAGUCUAAAAUAAAAUUUUGAAAACAUCUGUCUUACUUGAAACAUUCAUAAUUUUCUAGCAAAUAAAGGUCACGCAUAUAGCAGUUAAGAACAUGGGCUUCAAAGCUAGAGUGUCUGGGUUCCAAGCCUGGCUAUGCUGCCCUGGGUGACCUUGGAGGAGCUGCUUAGUGUCGGUUUUCUCAUCUGUAAAAUGGGUAUGACAAUAAUAAGUAACUCACAAGGUAGUUGAGAGGCUUGUAUAACUAUCAUUGUUUCCUGAACACGUCUUAUUUAUUGAAUACUUUCUAUUUCUAAGCCCUUAAUUUCCAGAACCACCCCGAGAGGGUUGUCCAUAUACGUCAAUUAGGCGAUGCAUGCAAAGCCCUUCAGACUGUGCGCAGCCAUUCUCAGGCUCAAUCAAGGCUACCUAGUGCUUUAUGUCCCCAAAGAGGGUGCCAAGUGAAAUCAGCAUGCCGUUGGAACGAAAUAAAUAAUUUAACAGGAGGAAGGAUGUUUCAAUGGGAGGCAAUCACCAUGAAUCUCACUUCUGAAGUGAGUUCAUUUGAAUUUGUCAACAAGCUCCUGCUAAAUGAAAUCGGCUGGAGAGCUAUAACUUAAGGCUAAAAUUAAAGGGUGAAUUAAAAACAGUGCCAACGGGUUAGGUGGUGGGGACGGGCCUCGCAGAGUGCCAGGCCUGCUCUUUUUGGGCUUCCUGUUUCCCUUAAUCUGACCCAACAGUGCCAUUGAUUUAAUGGUGGAAAAGCAGGGACUAGGGGUUUGUAGUGUGUCAAGCAGGCUGAAUAAAAAGCAAAAUGAUGAAGGAAGAUUAAACACGCUGCAGCAGUGCUUUUCACACUUUUAAAUUUCAGGAUUGCUCUAUAUUCUGGAAAACUUAUUGAAAAUCUCAAAGAGGGCUUUUGUGUAUGUGGGUUGUUUCUACCUUAUUGGAUGUUAAAAAAGUUACAUUACUUAACAAUCAUAAAGCAUGUCUUGAUCACAUGAAUGAUAAUUUUAAAAUAAAAAACAG
This 4393-nucleotide long non-coding RNA is filed under the name Sus scrofa (pig). RNAcentral's name for it is "lncRNA (ENSSSCG00055019053.1)". Lineage: Eukaryota; Metazoa; Chordata; Mammalia; Artiodactyla; Suidae. The record is from RNAcentral.